RNAcentral lists this ribosomal RNA (428 nucleotides) under Verrucomicrobiota bacterium. Its description in RNAcentral is "Verrucomicrobia bacterium partial 16S ribosomal RNA". It matches the Rfam family "Bacterial small subunit ribosomal RNA", at positions 355 to 776 of the family's 1533-position model. Lineage: Bacteria; Pseudomonadati; Verrucomicrobiota. The record is from RNAcentral.
UAGGGAAUCUUCCGCAAUGGACGAAAGUCUGACGGAGCAACGCCGCGUGAGUGAAGAAGGAUUUCGGUUCGUAAAACUCUGUUGUUAGGGAAGAAAAAAUGUAUAGUAACUAUAUACAAAAGAGACGGUACCUAACCAGAAAGCCACGGCUAACUACGUGCCAGCAGCCGCGGUAAUACGUAGGUGGCAAGCGUUGUCCGGAUUUAUUGGGCGUAAAGCGAGCGCAGGCGGUUAGAAAAGUCUGGAGUGAAAGGCAGUGGCUCAACCAUUGUAGGCUUUGGAAACUGUUUAACUUGAGUGCAGAAGGGGAGAGUGGAAUUCCAUGUGUAGCGGUGAAAUGCGUAGAUAUAUGGAGGAACACCGGUGGCGAAAGCGGCUCUCUGGUCUGUAACUGACGCUGAGGCUCGAAAGCGUGGGGAGCGAACAGG